Molecule: unclassified non-coding RNA, 3754 nt
Filed under: Leishmania donovani
Lineage: Eukaryota; Euglenozoa; Kinetoplastea; Trypanosomatida; Trypanosomatidae
Description: gene:LdHU3.36.6100(CDS-product:hypothetical_prote in_conserved)
Source: RNAcentral
ACAGGCAAACGGCUUGUCUGCCAUUUCAGAGGGAGCGUCAGUGAACAUCGGUCGCAGCUCUUCCUUCCCCCUCCAGUGGAACGGAGAGCAUCAGACACCUCUGCAGAGGCACGCGAGAAUACUAAAGGACUUGUCGGUGGGCGCGUGGCUAAAACGGUCAAGAACGAUAGGCUUACCGACACACACACACACACACACGCACACACGCGUGCGCGGAAGUGCACACGCUCUUUAGUCGCUUGCUUUCUGGACAAGAGCGAUCAAAUAAGACAAAAAGAUAGUCUCUUGGUUGGAUGUGAGCUGCACUGGCCGCCUUGUCGUGUCUAAGCUAUACACAGAGAGACCGUGCUGCUGGUGUCCGCUGUCGUUGUAGUCACCAGCGUCUGGGUGGCGAUUUGAUUGGCUCACAAGCGUUGAUUUCAGGGCUCAUCGCUGCUCCCCGCACACGUGUGCAUCUCUCUUUGCUUGCGUCGCUGACGCUUGCCUUUCUGCCAUCAUCUUCUCACGUCUCCCCUGAGUAGUGGAACAGUGCACGCGAGCGUUCACCUUCGCGGUGACGUUUUCCAUUGCUGUUUUAUUGUUUCUCUCCUUCGCGCUUUUCCCAGUGUAGCUGGGCGGACGCCGAGAUGAAGCGCUCACGCCAGGAUAAUCGCCGCCUCGGCCCUGCUGCGGCCGCCAUGCGCCGCCGUGACGUGUACCGAGACGGUCGUCAAGCGGAGGAGCAGGUGAGCAUUCAGAAGCUCUUCCGGGACGCUGUGGCGAUGCAAAAGUUUCACUCCCCGAACCAGUCUGGCGCCGGGGCCCGGGUGAUGAUUCACAGCCGAGAGGAACUUGCCUUGUAUCGCCAGAAGCGGCGCGCAGAGCUGGAGGAGAGUGUGCGGCGCGGGUUUAAGGCGAUCGGCAACUGGAUCCGCUACGCACGUUGGGAGGCGCAGCAGCGUGACUUUGACCGCAUGCGGGCCGUCAUGGAGCGCGCGGUUCCCGUGCACGGCGAGAAUGCAAACCUAUGGAGGGACUACGCGGAGCUGGAGGAGUCGAACGGGUUCGCAGAACAUGCUCGUCAAGUGUGGAGCCGCGGCGUGACGGCGCUGCCGUCGAGUGUGGACUUGUGGGUAAAGUACCUCGCCAUGGAGCAGGCGGCGGGCCAGGAUCAGCGGGUGCGAGAUGUUUUUCAUCGAUGGCUUGCCGGGGACGCGGUGCCGCCGUGCGCAUACGCGCUUGCCGCCCUCUACGAGGCGCAGCAGCGGCGCCAAGCAGGAUGCCGUGACAUUCUUCGUCGCUGCGUCGAACGCUUCAACACGCCGGCAAGCUGGCUGCUGUACGGAGCCACAGAACAGCAGGUUUUCGGCGAUCACGAGCGAGCCGUGAAGGUACUUGAAACAGCCAUGCGCGCACUUCCCGACGAGGACCUUUGGGGGCUGGAGGAGUGUCGCGUGCCGCUUGCGCUGGCGGAGGCGCACGUCGCCGCCGGGAGCGCCGUUCAGGCGCGCAAUGUCUUCCACAACGCACUCGAGCACGUUGCUGACCACCCACUGUUAUUAGAGAAGGUGCUGGCGUCCUACAGUCGCUUCGAGCGCCUGUACGGAGACGGUGAGCACUCUGAGCAGGUAGCGCGAUUGCGCACCAUUCAGUUGUACGAAGAGCGCCUCCGCAAGAAUACGAGUGACUUUGACGCCUAUCUGACGCUGUACUCGCUCUACCGCGACCAAGAGCGUGAAAGUCGACUGCGCGCAAGCGGCUCAAUCAACAAAAUGCCGGAAGCGGUGGUGGGCGGAAAUGCUGCACUGGCGUCGACAGCACUUGUCACCUCCCCGGCCGCUGCCGCCUCUCCGUCGCGGCAGGUGCUUGAGCGCGCGCUCCAGAUCCCUUCCCGCGACCCUUAUGGCGCCCAGCAACGUGCUGUUCUGGUCAUGGAGUACGCACGCGCCUGUGAGGAUGACGGCGAGCUGGAUGCGGCACGGCGCACCCUCGCGCAGGAAAUCAAGAAUUUUCCCUUUGAAGCGGCCCUAUGCCCGCGGCUGUGGGUGGAGGCGGCGGCGAUGGAGGAGCGCCACGGCGCUACCGCACAGGCGCGCCGGCUUCUCCGCGCCGGGUCGCAGGUUACAAAGGAUGUGCGCCUCUUUGAAGAGGCAAUCCAGUUUGGGGAGCGACAGCGGGACAAUGUAAUCGAGGCAAUGCACGCCGCAGCGCACGAGACCACGCCGCCGUCGGCGCAGGAGGUGGAGGAAGCAUGCGCGCCGUACGUGGCGGAGCUGCGCACAGAUUACCAGAACGCCAUCCAAGCCUUCCCGUUCGACGUGCAGUGGUGGCUCCGAUACGCGAAGCUGGAGGAGCAGCAGCAGGAGAUCCUCCGUGCCGACGCGCUGUACGGCGCCUGCAUCCGCACCUUCAAUGAUGAGGCUGAACGGGUUCGGUCCUUUGCGCAGCGCUACGACCUCCUUGGCCAUGUGGACGCUGCCUGGGCACACCGGAUUCAUCUUCACACGCGGCGCGCGCGUGCCCUGCAGCGACAGGCGUCGCGGCGCAAGGGGUGUGCCGCGGGCGCAGAGACGGCUCGGGUCGAGCUGGCGACGCUGCAGGAGGAGCUGCUGCACUUGUACGCCACUCUGCUGCAGGACGUCUGGAACGCUUACCGGCACGAGGCGGUGGCGUGGUUUUCGCGGUACUUUGAGGCAGGUGAAGGCAGCGGUUCUGGUGUGCUUGCUGGCGCCGCGCCAAAGACGUUGCCCUCAUCCCUCACUCCUGCUACGGCGCGCUGGUCGGAGGCCGUGGAGGCGGUGGCGGGGUAUAUGGAGCGAAUGAGUGCUAUCAAGAUAGGCCAGGGUGCAUCAGAGGGUGCCACAGCGGCUCUCCGUGAGAUGCUCAAGUCAAUGGUGGAGGCGGAGCGUCACGCUAUUCGCCGAUCCCUUGGCUGGACAGAGCAGACAACGCAGUUUGACGCCGUGCAGAGAGCACGCGAAUGGGGUGAGCUGCUGCUGUCGCCGCUACUCGAGGAGUGGAGCAAGUUUGAGCUCACCCAUGGUGGGUCACUGGAGGCUGUUGCGGCGGCGAUGGAGAAACCGGUGAAGCGCCGCACACGACUCUUCAAAGCGCGGCCGUAGUGAAAGCGUCAAGGCAAGAGAGAGAUGGCAGGGAGGGGAUGGGCUGCUGCAGGCUUAUUAAUGCCACAGUUUACUCUGAAGAGUCGCGUCUGCGCCGAUGGCUGAGUGUGUUGGCUUGUGCGCGUGUAGGUGUGCCGUGUUGUUUGGUGAAUCGGCUCGCAGCAAGUAGGCUAGCGUCGUUGUGUAGCUGCACCACCAUCAUGCGUGCUGGUGAGUAGGUCAGAGGUUUCUUAAAUACCGAAACGGAGACACACACACAAAAGAAGAAGUCUGGCAUCCCUUCAUCGUGCUGUUUUCGGUCGGGUGUUGAUCGACAGCCACCAUCGCCGCUCCCAUAGUUCCUUGACGCUUGUCGGUGGGUGGCCAUGCGAAGCGGCUCCUCUUCGCUUCACUGGUUCUUGUGUGGACUUGUUGGGCAACAGCCCACCAUCGCGUGGCAGGAGGCCAUUUGCUUCUUUCAUGGAGGCAAACGUCUCUGCGUCAGUGCCACUGUCAUCAGCGGAGGAGAGAGAGGGAAGCGGACGCAGGCGCCUGGGCUUAUGUGGGUCCACUACUUUACUGCUUCUCUCUCUCUCUUCCCUCACUGUCUCGUUGUGUGCGUGUGUGUUUGGGUGCGUAUGCGUCUCUCUCCAUUUCACUCCCGCGAACGCCAG